RNAcentral lists this ribosomal RNA (201 nucleotides) under uncultured bacterium. RNAcentral describes it as "partial 16S ribosomal RNA". It matches the Rfam family "Bacterial small subunit ribosomal RNA", at positions 524 to 721 of the family's 1533-position model. The record is from RNAcentral.
UACGUAGGGGGGCUAGCGUUGCUCGGAAUCACUGGGCGUAAAGGGCGCGUAGGCGGCGUUUUAAGUCGGGGGGUGAAAGCCUGUGGCUCAAUCACAGAAUGGCCUUCGAUACUGGGACGCUUGAGUGUGGUAGAGGUUGGUGGAACUGCGAGUGUAGAGGUGAAAUUCGUAGAUUAUUCGCAAGAACACCGGUGGCGAAGG